AGAAACUUUGUCAAGAAGAUAGGACUUUAUGGAUGAGGAAAAAGAGAAGGCUACACAGUCACCACGGCUCUGGGCAUGACUGCAUUUUUGAUAUAUGAGUUCUGGCCUCAUUCCUUCAGAGCAGGCUUCACCACAUACCUGAUUGUGAUUGUGGCACCUGGACCUGAUACAACAGACCUGAGUCCCUGUCUCAACUGCCCACCCAGCCGGUCACCCUUCUCUGGCCUCUGCAUCUGACCCUGAGUUUCCUGGGCCGCCCACCUACCCAUGCUGGACUCUGAACUUUGUGUACACAAGGGUCACUGAGAAGUGGACACCGUCACAGUGGACUGUGGAAGAGAGGGGUCGGCUGGUGGAUUUGUGGAGAGGAAGAAGACAGAGGUCACUGAUAGGGAGAAAGACAAAU
Molecule: long non-coding RNA, 406 nt
Organism: Pteronotus mesoamericanus
Lineage: Eukaryota; Metazoa; Chordata; Mammalia; Chiroptera; Mormoopidae
Exons: 3
Source: RefSeq, a predicted model, not a curated record